This 477-nucleotide ribosomal RNA is filed under the name uncultured eukaryote. RNAcentral's name for it is "bacterial SSU rRNA". It matches the Rfam family "Eukaryotic small subunit ribosomal RNA", at positions 693 to 1165 of the family's 1831-position model. The record is from RNAcentral.
GGGGCUCGUGAUAUCUCAUCUCGCCGCCCGUCGCGAGGCGGACGGAGGGAUGGAUGAGGUUACCUGGAAAAAUCGGGGCGAUCUAGGCGGGCGAACCUCGCCAACGAACGAUCGGACAUGGGAUAACGGAAGAGGGCGUCGGCUCGACUUCGUCGGUUCCUCGGGCCGAGGCACGUACGGUGAAUAGGGACGGUCGGGGCCGCCCGUACCGGGUCGUGAGAGGUGAAAUUCUAGGAUCGACCCGAGACGAACCGCCGCGAAAGCAUUCGGCAAGGACGCUUUCAUUAAUCAAGAACGAAAGUCGGGGGAUCGAAGACGAUCAGAUACCGUCGUAGUCCCGACCGUAAACGAUGCCGACCGAGGGCCCGGAGGAGUUACGUACGACCCUCCGGGCCCUCCCGCGAGAAAUCAGGAGUAUUCGGGUUCCGGGGGGAGUAUGGUCGCAAGGCCGAAACUUAAAGGAAUUGACGGAAGGGC